UACGUAGGAGACGAGCGUUGUCCGGAAUUACUGGGCGUAAAGCGCGUGUAGGCGGAUGAGCAAGUCUGCUGUGAAAGCUCCUGGCUUAACCGGGAGUGGUCGGUGGAAACUGCUCGUCUGGAGGACGGUAGAGGUAGGUGGAAUUCCCGGUGUAGUGGUGAAAUGCGUAGAGAUCGGGAGGAAUACCUGUGGCGAAGGCGGCCUACUGGGCCGGACCUGACGCUGAGACGCGAAGGCGUGGGGAGCGAUCAGG
This 253-nucleotide ribosomal RNA is filed under the name uncultured bacterium. RNAcentral's name for it is "partial 16S ribosomal RNA". It matches the Rfam family "Bacterial small subunit ribosomal RNA", at positions 524 to 776 of the family's 1533-position model. The record is from RNAcentral.